UGGGGAAUUUUGGACAAUGGGGGAAACCCUGAUCCAGCCAUCCCGCGUGUUCGAUGAAGGCCUUCGGGUUGUAAAGCACUUUUGGCAGGAAAGAAACGUCAUGGGUUAAUACCCCGUGAAACUGACGGUACCUGCAGAAUAAGCACCGGCUAACUACGUGCCCGCAGCCGCGGUAAUACGUAGGGUGCAAGCGUUAAUCGGAAUUACUGGGCGUAAAGCGUGCGCAGGCGGUUCGGAAAGAAAGAUGUGAAAUCCCAGAGCUCAACUUUGGAACUGCAUUUUUAACUACCGGGCUAGAGUGUGUCAGAGGGAGGUGGAAUUCCGCGUGUAGCAGUGAAAUGCGUAGAUAUGCGGAGGAACACCGAUGGCGAAGGCAGCCUCCUGGGAUAACACUGACGCUCAUGCACGAAAGCGUGGGGAGCAAACAGG
This 429-nucleotide ribosomal RNA is filed under the name Acidobacteriota bacterium. Its description in RNAcentral is "Acidobacteria bacterium partial 16S ribosomal RNA". It matches the Rfam family "Bacterial small subunit ribosomal RNA", at positions 355 to 776 of the family's 1533-position model. Lineage: Bacteria; Pseudomonadati; Acidobacteriota. The record is from RNAcentral.